GAAGGUAACAAUUAGACAAAGCCAAACUACACAUGUGAUUUCAUUGACCAGAGAAGAACAAAUUGCCAAUCUUCCUGUGUCCGAGGUCGAAAACUUCAGUUCAGCUGCAAGGCGAAUCACCACAGGAGAGGCUGUGUUGGCUAGGAUAAUCAUGAUGACAUUGGCAAGAGCAACAGUGUUUGCUGUGAGCUUUAAUAUAUGAAUGAUAAAGAAGGAAGCAGCAAGACCAAAUAUGCUACAAACGGCCAUUCCACCAUAUGCAAUAAUGCUUGCUUUUCUCAAGUUUCGCCUUAGAUAAGGAAUAUCCGUCUCCAGUCCAAUCAAGAACAUAAAGAGUAUGUUGUAAAUGGAAGAAAAAAUAUCAUAAUAAUCAGCUGAAGAAGCUUGAAGAAAAAAAUCUUUUAUUAUGCUGAUGUGAGACAAUAAAGAGGGACCUAGCACAAUUCCAGCCAAAAUUUGAGCAACAGGUCCAGGUUGUCCCAGAGGUUUCAAGAUAAUAUGGAAGAAAUGGGAGAUGACAAGAAUGCCGGAUGCUUGCAAGGUGGUUGUAAUGAGAGGGUUAAA
Molecule: unclassified non-coding RNA, 564 nt
Filed under: Hevea brasiliensis (rubber tree)
Lineage: Eukaryota; Viridiplantae; Streptophyta; Magnoliopsida; Malpighiales; Euphorbiaceae
Source: RNAcentral